UGGGGAAUCUUGCGCAAUGGGGGAAACCCUGACGCAGCGACGCCGCGUGCGGCAUGAAGGCCUUCGGGUUGUAAACCGCUUUCAGCAGGGACGAGGCCUUAUGGUGACGGUACCUGCAGAAGAAGCUCCGGCUAAAUACGUGCCAGCAGCCGCGGUAAUACGUAUGGAGCAAGCGUUAUCCGGAUUCAUUGGGCGUAAAGCGCUCGUAGGCGGUCUGUUAGGUCGGCAAGUUAAAUCCGGGGGCUCAACCCCCGUCCGCUUCCGAUACCGGCAGACUUGAGUUUGGGAGGGGAAGGUGGAAUUCCUGGUGUAGCGGUGGAAUGCGCGGAUAUUAGGAAGAACACCGGUGGCGAAGGCGGCCUUCUGGGCCAUAACUGACGCUGAGGAGCGAAAGCUAGGGGAGCGAACAGG
RNAcentral lists this ribosomal RNA (411 nucleotides) under Verrucomicrobiota bacterium. RNAcentral describes it as "Verrucomicrobia bacterium partial 16S ribosomal RNA". It matches the Rfam family "Bacterial small subunit ribosomal RNA", at positions 355 to 776 of the family's 1533-position model. The record is from RNAcentral. Lineage: Bacteria; Pseudomonadati; Verrucomicrobiota.